Cyprinus carpio (common carp) is the source of this 1141-nucleotide long non-coding RNA. The record is from Ensembl. Lineage: Eukaryota; Metazoa; Chordata; Actinopteri; Cypriniformes; Cyprinidae.
AUAUCAUAUGCAUGCCAAUUUUUGUGUAUAAACAGUAAGCGAAAUCAAAACAUAUACUCGUCCUAUUGAUACGCAUUUGAGAUGAGAUCGGGUUGACUGCAAUACAUUCUACACUGUAAAAAAUUAUUUAGCAGUUUAGUUGUUUCAACAAAUUUUUUUAUGUUGACAACUUGCAGUGAAUUUGUUCAUUCAACUAAAAAAUUUAAGUUUACACUGUCUCAACUAGUUUGAAAGUUGACUCAACUAGAUUAUUUGUCCUAUCAACUUAAAAAAAUGUGUUGAAUCAAUUCAAUAGCAAUAUCACGUUCUCAACAUUACUUAUCGCGAGAUCUCGUCAUUCUCGUGAAGACCAUUACAGGCAGAAGACGGUCAUCAGCCAUAGGCUACUGGUCAGCUUCUCCACAAAGUUUGUUCAUUUUACCAGAAUACAACUUUGGGAAACGAAGGAGCACCAUAGAUGAGAACCUUGUUUUCAGAUGAAGAAAAAAAGAGAAGCUUGGUUCAGAUGAAGUUCUGAAGGUAAAACGUUAUAAACUCUUCUUUCAGUUUUCUGAAGUAACGUUAGUCAUUCAAGUACCUCACCAGAACCCAGUGUAAUGCCGCGUGAAUAUCUGCUUUUAUACAGUCUAUGGUGAAUAUACAGUCAUAAGUAAAUUGCAUACGUUCAAAACUAUAUAUUUUAGAAUAACAGUAAGAAUAGCAUAGCUAUAUCUUGUAUAAAUAGCCAUACAAUUAGGAUAGACACAAAUGUGUGAAAUUUCCUUUUAUUUUGUUAUAAUUCUGUGUUGUUUCAUUUAAAAGCAUGGUCUGGAUGGUAAAGUUUGUCUUUGGUAAUUAAAACAAACUUGUCAAUACUUUUUACUUUCUCUGUAAAGAUUUAUUUAUAUAUUUAUGUUUAUUAUUUUACAGUGUUUUAACAUGUUUCUGUAUUUUUCAUGUUUAUGAUAUUUUGGAAUGACUGGAGAUAAGGCCAGAAUUCAAUAAUCUUGUGGAUGGACCGCAGCAAGUCCUUUUGAGUUGUAUCCAUCAUAAUGCUAUCCAGACAUAAUGGAAAUGACAUUCACAUUGUAGAGCUUGGACAAAGUUGUAAGUGAAUUUAUUUAUUAAUAAAUGCACAUUUAUUGGAGUCUAUAAGCUUUUU